This 477-nucleotide ribosomal RNA is filed under the name uncultured bacterium. Its description in RNAcentral is "partial 16S ribosomal RNA". It matches the Rfam family "Bacterial small subunit ribosomal RNA", at positions 28 to 523 of the family's 1533-position model. The record is from RNAcentral.
GACGAACGCUGGCGGCGUGCUUAACACAUGCAAGUCGAACGGUAAGGCCCUUCGGGGUACACGAGUGGCGAACGGGUGAGUAACACGUGGGUGAUCUGCCCUGCACUUUGGGAUGAGCCUGGGAAACUGGGUCUAAUACCGGAUAGGACCGCGCACUAAUGGUGUGGGGUGGAAAGCUUUUGCGGUGUGGGAUGGGCCCGCGGCCUAUCAGCUUGUUGGUGGGGUAAUGGCCUACCAAGGCGACGACGGGUAGCCGGCCUGAGAGGGUGUCCGGCCACACUGGGACUGAGAUACGGCCCAGACUCCUACGGGAGGCAGCAGUGGGGAAUAUUGCACAAUGGGCGCAAGCCUGAUGCAGCGACGCCGCGUGGGGGAUGACGGCCUUCGGGUUGUAAACCUCUUUCAGUAGGGACGAAGCGCAAGUGACGGUACCUACAGAAGAGGCACCGGCCAACUACGUGCCAGCCGCCGCAGUAA